RNAcentral lists this ribosomal RNA (559 nucleotides) under beta proteobacterium zj20. Its description in RNAcentral is "bacterial SSU rRNA". It matches the Rfam family "Bacterial small subunit ribosomal RNA", at positions 349 to 901 of the family's 1533-position model. The record is from RNAcentral. Lineage: Bacteria; Pseudomonadati; Pseudomonadota; Betaproteobacteria.
CAGCAGUGGGGAAUUUUGGACAAUGGGCGAAAGCCUGAUCCAGCAAUGCCGCGUGCAGGACGAAGGCCUUCGGGUUGUAAACUGCUUUUGUACGGAACGAAACGGUCUCUUUUAAUACAGGGGGCUAAUGACGGUACCGUAAGAAUAAGCACCGGCUAACUACGUGCCAGCAGCCGCGGUAAUACGUAGGGUGCAAGCGUUAAUCGGAAUUACUGGGCGUAAAGCGUGCGCAGGCGGUUAUAUAAGACAGAUGUGAAAUCCCCGGGCUCAACCUGGGACCUGCAUUUGUGACUGUAUAGCUAGAGUACGGUAGAGGGGGAUGGAAUUCCGCGUGUAGCAGUGAAAUGCGUAGAUAUGCGGAGGAACACCGAUGGCGAAGGCAAUCCCCUGGACCUGUACUGACGCUCAUGCACGAAAGCGUGGGGAGCAAACAGGAUUAGAUACCCUGGUAGUCCACGCCCUAAACGAUGUCAACUGGUUGUUGGGUCUUCACUGACUCAGUAACGAAGCUAACGCGUGAAGUUGACCGCCUGGGGAGUACGGCCGCAAGGUUGAAACU